GGUUAAGCGACUAAGCGUACACGGUGGAUGCCUAGGCAAUCAGAGGCGAUGAAGGACGUGCUAAUCUGCGAAAAGCGUCGGUAAGGUGAUAUGAACCGUUAUAACCGACGAUGUCCGAAUGGGGAAACCCAGUGCAAUUCGUUGCACUAUCGUUUGAUGAAUCCAUAGUCAAACGAGGCGAACCGGGGGAACUGAAACAUCUCAGUACCCCGAGGAAAAGAAAUCAACCGAGAUUCCCCUAGUAGCGGCGAGCGAACGGGGAGCAGCCCAGAGUCUUAAUCAGCAUCAGCAUCAGGAGAACGGUCUGGAAAGGCCGGCAAUAAAGGGUGAUAGCCCCGUAUCCGAAGGUGUUGGUGUUGUGAACUCGACGAGUAGGGCGGGACACGUGUUAUCCUGUCUGAAUAUGGGGGGACCAUCCUCCAAGGCUAAAUACUCCUGAUUGACCGAUAGUGAACCAGUACCGUGAGGGAAAGGCGAAAAGAACCCCGGCGAGGGGAGUGAAAUAGAACCUGAAACCGUGUACGUACAAGCAGUGGGAGCCUUGAUUUAUCAGGGUGACUGCGUACCUUUUGUAUAAUGGGUCAGCGACUUAUAUUCUGUAGCAAGGUUAACCG
RNAcentral lists this ribosomal RNA (614 nucleotides) under Providencia stuartii. RNAcentral describes it as "partial 23S ribosomal RNA". It matches the Rfam family "Bacterial large subunit ribosomal RNA", at positions 1 to 652 of the family's 2925-position model. Lineage: Bacteria; Pseudomonadati; Pseudomonadota; Gammaproteobacteria; Enterobacterales; Morganellaceae. The record is from RNAcentral.